GUAGCCAAAAAGCCGCCUUCGGUCCUUCGCUUUGCCGCACGGAGCCGUGCCCCGGGGCGGAAGGUAAGGGCGGCGGCGCCGGCUCCGCUCCCCCGGGGGUCGAGUUUCAGGGGCUGCUCUGUGCUCUGCAAUUAGAUUGACACAUGUACAACAUCCCCAGCCAUUCAAGGGGGUUCGCAGGGACACUCCAAAGGGAUUUUUUUUCUUUCUUUCUUUCUUUUUGGGUGGAAGAUAUUAAAGAGGUAUCUGUUGUUUGGCAA
Cygnus atratus (black swan) is the source of this 260-nucleotide long non-coding RNA. RefSeq lists it as uncharacterized. The transcript is spliced from 2 exons. Lineage: Eukaryota; Metazoa; Chordata; Aves; Anseriformes; Anatidae. The record is from RefSeq and is a predicted model, not a curated record.